This is a non-coding RNA of Macaca mulatta (Rhesus monkey), 1227 nucleotides long. The record is from RefSeq and is a predicted model, not a curated record. Lineage: Eukaryota; Metazoa; Chordata; Mammalia; Primates; Cercopithecidae.
CAGAACCAGGUCUGAAGGGUGGAAGCUACAGGCACCAAUCUCAGCCCAAAGGAGCCAGUCACAAUACUUGUCUCUGUUCUGGAACAAACUGCCACCAGAGGGAGUGAGUACCCUGUUCCUGGGUGUUCAAGCACAGACCAGAUAACCACUCUUGGGGGAUUCAUUUUGAGAUCUGUUCUGGAGGCCUGCUGGCUUCUUGAAUCCCAGGAAUUCUAACAAGCCGGGAAUGAACAACAGUCCAUCUUGAUCUCCGGGCUCCCCUUCUGUCCUCUCUGGAGAGCUGCAGUUCCUGCCCUUAACUAUUUCCAGAGGCCUGGAAAUGAAUUCCAAGAACCUCCCUGGAUUGUGGGAUCUAACAGAAUGGUGUGGAAUCACAGAGAGGAAGAGGCAGUGGGCUCUAGACCACCAACCCCUCGCCUGGCCAAGUGGGAGAGGGGUCUCAGGGCCCAGACUCAACCUGGAGGCUCAGCCACCAGCAGAAGCAACUUCUGUGCAGCAUCUCCUCUCGGCAGUGUUCUGAAGUCCUGCCCCAGCCGGGUGGCAUCAAGGCUAGGCUCCCGCUAGACCCCUUGGCUAGGCAUGGUGUCUUGAGAAGCCACUAGGUGGAGCCAAGACACUGAGGCUCUCCUCCCAUCCCUUUUCUGAGAUUGGGGGUCAAGCUGGCUUGCUGCAGGGAGUCCAGGGUCUAGAGGGAUCCACUAGGAGAGAAUGUGAGCAGAAGACGUUCGGGUGAGUCAACUCUGAGCUCCUUGGUUGGUUUCUGCGUCAGGGGCUGUGAUGACAGAAGGACAAUUGCAGGAAAGCUUCGAUGAAAGAUUGAGCCUUUAUUUGCAGCUGUGAGGAUGGGUACUGGGGCUGAGACCCAGGCAGCCUGCAGGCAGCAGAGGUUGGUGAUGGCCGAAGUGGGUUCUUCUGGACACCCGUCCCACAGUGCUUGCUCUGGAGGUCCCGUUCUGGCUCCAGAACUUGCGGGGAGGUGCGGGAGUGGAUGCGCUUGGCAGACAGUAGGAGCUCGGAAAAUACUCCUCAAUGGAUGGAAGGCUGAAUGAAAGCUCUGGAGUGGGAGAGUGCGUAGGUCCCACUCACUAGUGUCUGACAUGUAGCUGAUGCUCAGCAAAUGUUUGUCAAGGGACUACAUGCUGCCAGCCUGCCCAAGGCCAGGCUAACAGGCCUGGGUCCUUCUUUGUACGCACCCCAAGUGAAUAUGAAAACAGUCGUGACACCUGU